This 322-nucleotide unclassified non-coding RNA is filed under the name plant metagenome. Its description in RNAcentral is "partial contains small subunit ribosomal RNA, internal transcribed spacer 1, and 5.8S ribosomal RNA". The stretch from base 274 to 322 matches the Rfam family "5.8S ribosomal RNA", at positions 1 to 49 of the family's 154-position model. The record is from RNAcentral.
UUUCCGUAGGUGAACCUGCGGAAGGAUCAUUAUUGAAUAAAUCUGAUGUGGUUGUAGCUGGAUCUUAGGAUCAUGUGAACACCCGUCACCUUUAUCUUCCCACCUGUGCACACACUGUAGUCCUGGAUACCUCUCGCUGAAAGGCGGAUGAGGUGUUUGCUGGGCCUUCGCAAGAAGGCCGGCUCACUCUGAGUUUCCAGGUCUAUGAUUUUAUACACACCAAACGAAUGUAACAGAAUAUUAUCAUCAGGCUUCGUGCAUAUAAAUUUAUACAACUUUCAGCAACGGAUCUCUUGGCUCUCGCAUCGAUGAAGAGCGCAGC